AUGUUGGCUGAAUUUGACCCAGUUAUAAAAGAGCAUGUUGACCGCAUCACGAAUGAUAAAAUUCGUGAUCAUUAUCUUGGCCCCUCCAUACAGAAUGAGUUAAUCAAUUUGCUCGUUGCCGCAAUCAAGUUGAAAAUCAUUGAGAAGGUAAAAGAAGCAAAGCACUUCUCAGUUAUACUUGACUGUACUCCUGAUGCAAGCCACCAAGAACAAAUGUCUUUGAUAAUUAGGUAUGUUGGUGCAUCCCCAGAUUCUUUUUGCAUUGAAGAAUCCUUCUUAUGUUUUUUGGAUGUGAAUGAUACCACCGGGCAAGGAUUGUUUGAUGUUUUACAGAAGGAAUUGAAGAAUCUUGACCUUGAUGUGGACAAUGUGAGAGGUCAGGGAUAUGAUAAUGGGUCGAAUAUGGAAGGAAAAAAUAAAGGAGUACAAAACAAAGUAUUGGAAAUAAACCGAAGAGCCUUUUAUUCAGCUUGUGGUUGCCAUAGUCUGAAUUUGGCACUAUGUGAUAUGGCAAAGUCUUGUCGUAAAGCAACGGAUUUUUUUGGAGUUAUCCAGCGUAUCUAUACAAUAUUUGCUAAUUCUACUAAGAGAUGGCAAAUUCUCAAAGAUAACAUACCAGGAUUGACUCUCAAGUCAUUAUCAUCUACUCGUUGGGAGAGUCAUGUUGAUAGUGUUCAGGCUAUAAGGUUUCAGCUACCGGAAAUAAGGGAGGCCUUACUGCAAGUGGCUGAAAUAUCAAUCAUCAUCUGGUAUGAAAUAUUAUCCACUGUUAAUUUGAUUAGCAAAGAGUUACAGUCAAAGGAUAUGCUUAUUGAUAUUGCAAUUGAAUCUAUAAAAGGCUUGCUUUCCUUUAAAAAGUAUAGAGAAACUGGCUUUUCAAAAGCAUUGGAAGUUGCCAAAAAAAUUACAGUGGAGAUGGAUAUUCAUCUAGAGUUCCGCACCAAGCGUAAAAUCAAAAGGAAAAAACAAUUUGAUGAGGGUGAAGAUGAUGCAUCUAUCGACUCACAAUCUACAGAGGAGUCAUUUAGGGUCAAUUAUUUUAUACGUGUUGUUGAUCAAGCUAUAACUUCACUUACCAUUAGAUUUGAACAAUAUGAGGGGUAUGAAAAGAUAUUUGGUUUGUUGUUUACUUCAGAUAGGCUGCGAUCACUAGAUGACAAGAGUUUGAUGGCUGCUUGUGUUAAUCUUGAAGAUGCACUUAAGAGUGGAGAACAUACAGAUAUUGAUGGACUUGAAUUGUGUUGUGAGCUAAUUUUCAUCCAGGAUUUACUUCAUAAAUCAAUGGGUCCUCUUGACAUUCUGAAUUAUUUGAAGAAGCGAUCCACAAUCUAUCCUAAUGUUGUUAUUGCAUACAGAAUUUUGUUGACCAUUCCUGUAACGGUUGCAUCUGCUGAAAGGAGUUUUUCUAAACUCAAGUUGUUGAAGUCCUGCUUGCGUUCUACUAUGACACAAGAAAGACUUAAUGGAUUGGCGACAAUAGCACUUGAAAAUGAUGUCUUGGAGAAGAUAAAGUACGAAGAUAUGAUUGAAGAUUUUAUUUCAAGAAAUGCCAGACGGAUGCUUCUUUUUGAUAGAACAUGA
RNAcentral lists this ribosomal RNA (1581 nucleotides) under Triticum aestivum (bread wheat). Its description in RNAcentral is "partial small subunit ribosomal RNA". Lineage: Eukaryota; Viridiplantae; Streptophyta; Magnoliopsida; Poales; Poaceae. The record is from RNAcentral.